CUUAUUUUCCCGCAGAAGUUCUGAAACCCAAACCAUAAAAGUUGGAAUCAUGCCAAAGAAUAGUUUAAUUGAAAAUGGCCGAUUAUAAUACAAUAAUAUUAUAAUUGCAUCAACUAUAUCGAAUAAAAUCCCGAUCAAUUACGCAUGUUCUUGAUCAAACUCAGUGAGAAAACAGAAUCAUCACAAAUUAAACGUCUCGAUCAUAUUUCAAUUUGUGUCAUACAUAAUCAUAAUCAUAAUCAAACCUCUUCAAUCAUAGAAUCCUAAAUUAAUCAAAGGCGCAAACAAACACAAAACAGAUAAAGACGAAUAAAAUCAAAAACAGAUCGACCAAAAAACGACCUGCGGGGGUUUUUCUCUUGCCGA
Molecule: unclassified non-coding RNA, 366 nt
Filed under: Hevea brasiliensis (rubber tree)
Lineage: Eukaryota; Viridiplantae; Streptophyta; Magnoliopsida; Malpighiales; Euphorbiaceae
Source: RNAcentral